This 653-nucleotide ribosomal RNA is filed under the name uncultured bacterium. Its description in RNAcentral is "bacterial SSU rRNA". It matches the Rfam family "Bacterial small subunit ribosomal RNA", at positions 94 to 743 of the family's 1533-position model. The record is from RNAcentral.
AGCGGCGGACGGGUGAGGAAUACAUCGGAAUCUGCCCUGUCGUGGGGGAUAACCUAGGGAAACUUAGGCUAAUACCGCAUACGACCUACGGGUGAAAGCGGGGGAUCGCAAGACCUCGCGCGACAGGAUGAGCCGAUGUCCGAUUAGCUAGUUGGCGGGGUAAAGGCCCACCAAGGCGACGAUCGGUAGCUGGUCUGAGAGGAUGAUCAGCCACACUGGGACUGAGACACGGCCCAGACUCCUACGGGAGGCAGCAGUGGGGAAUAUUGGACAAUGGGCGCAAGCCUGAUCCAGCCAUGCCGCGUGGGUGAAGAAGGCCUUCGGGUUGUAAAGCCCUUUUGUCCGGGAAGAAAUCGUCUGGGCUAAUACCCCGGGCGGAUGACGGUACCGGAAGAAUAAGCACCGGCUAACUUCGUGCCAGCAGCCGCGGUAAUACGAAGGGUGCAAGCGUUACUCGGAAUUACUGGGCGUAAAGCGUGCGUAGGCGGUUCGUUAAGUCCGAUGUGAAAGCCCUGGGCUCAACCUGGGAACUGCAUUGGAAACUGGCGGGCUGGAGUGCGGUAGAGGGUGGCGGAAUUCCCGGUGUAGCAGUGAAAUGCGUAGAUAUCGGGAGGAACACCCGUGGCGAAGGCGGCCACCUGGACCAGCACUGA